RNAcentral lists this ribosomal RNA (508 nucleotides) under uncultured bacterium. RNAcentral's name for it is "partial 16S ribosomal RNA". It matches the Rfam family "Bacterial small subunit ribosomal RNA", at positions 28 to 507 of the family's 1533-position model. The record is from RNAcentral.
GACGAACGCUGGCGGCGUGCCUAAUACAUGCAAGUCGAACGCUUCUUUCCUCCCGAGUGCUUGCACUCAAUUGGAAAGAGGAGUGGCGGACGGGUGAGUAACACGUGGGUAACCUACCCAUCAGAGGGGGAUAACACUUGGAAACAGGUACUAAUACCGCAUAACAGUUUAUGCCGCAUGGCAUAAGAGUGAAAGGCGCUUUCGGGUGUCGCUGAUGGAUGGACCCGCGGUGCAUUAGCUAGUUGGUGAGGUAACGGCUCACCAAGGCCACGAUGCAUAGCCGACCUGAGAGGGUGAUCGGCCACACUGGGACUGAGACACGGCCCAGACUCCUACGGGAGGCAGCAGUAGGGAAUCUUCGGCAAUGGACGAAAGUCUGACCGAGCAACGCCGCGUGAGUGAAGAAGGUUUUCGGAUCGUAAAACUCUGUUGUUAGAGAAGAACAAGGACGUUAGUAACUGAACGUCCCCUGACGGUAUCUAACCAGAAAGCCACGGCUAACUACGUG